GUCCUGGUGGCCGAGUCGGUAGGACGCCGAGCCUUGAGAACUAAGGGUAUUCCCGAUGGAUGUGCUGGGUUCUAAUCCCGGUCGGGUCG
This is a non-coding RNA of Mycena crocata, 89 nucleotides long. The record is from the annotation of a GenBank genome assembly. Lineage: Eukaryota; Fungi; Basidiomycota; Agaricomycetes; Agaricales; Mycenaceae.